This 2689-nucleotide unclassified non-coding RNA is filed under the name Leptinotarsa decemlineata (Colorado potato beetle). RNAcentral describes it as "replication initiator 1-like, transcript variant X3". Lineage: Eukaryota; Metazoa; Arthropoda; Insecta; Coleoptera; Chrysomelidae. The record is from RNAcentral.
UGAUGAUCAUCUUCAGGUAACCUGGACAACCACCUGCUGACACACACUGCGGCACGCCCCUUCAACUGCGACCUCUGCGGCAAGGCGUUCAAGACUCUGGUACGUCUGCGCAAACACGUCUCCGUCCACUCAGGCCUGAAGCCCCACAAGUGCGACACGUGCGGCAGGCAGUUCCGAGAGAGGGGCACGCUCAAAGAGCACCACCGCAUCCACACGGGGGCCAUGCCGUUCGCGUGCGAGUUCUGCGGCAAGUGCUUCCGCUUCAAGGGGGUGCUUACCACGCAUCGCAGGCAACACACAGGGGAGCGUCCGUAUUCGUGCAACGAAUGCCAACACCACUUCACGAACUGGCCGAACUACAACAAGCACAUGAAGCGUCGGCACGGCAUCAACACGAGCGUCACUUGCCGGACGAGGCAGGACAUCCCGCCGACCGGUAUGCCCCACCGUAACCCUCCGGGUACUGUUCUGGCCGCCCCGCAACCCGUCGUCGUGCCCGAGAACUUCGUCGAGCCCCCGCCGACCUUCUACCCCGUACUGAAUCUCUACAAUAUUCCCGAAGAGCUGCUCCAGCAAAGGGUGGGAGUUUGAAUGAAAGGUUUCCACAAUUUCGCUAGACGUGAAGGAUUUUUGUCAGUGUGGUUGACUGGGAGUUCUGUCUUUCUGUUGCCGCUUUGAGUUCGAAAUUUAUUGAUUUCAUUCACGGAAUUACGUUGAUUCGACACCCAACAGUGAUAAAGGUUGGAAGUAGGUGAUAAACUGGUGGCGCUAGCUACGAAGCAAACUUAAGGAAAACUUGGAAGUGAACGCCUCAAGAUGGCGCUAACGGCGAAGCAAACUAAAGGAAAACUGAGAAAUGAUUGUUACAAGGUGGCGCUAGCGGUGAGACAAACUAAAGGAAAACUUGGAAAUGAUUGUCGUAAGGUGGCGCCAGCUACGAAGCAAACUUGGAAGUGAACGCCUCAAGAUGGCGCCAGCGGCGAAGCAAACUAAAGGAAAAAUAGAAAAUGAUUGUCGCAAGGUGGCGCUAGCUACGCAGCAAACUAAAGGAAAACUUGGAAGUGAACGCCUCAAGAUGGCGCUAUCGGCGAAGCAAACUAAAGGAAAAAUAGGAAAUGUUUGUCGCAAGGUGGCGCUAGCUACGAAGCAAACUAAAGGAAAACUUGGAAGUGAUCGCCACGUGGUGGCGCUAGCGGCAAUGCAAACUAAAGGAAAACUGAGAAAUGAUGAUCACAAGGUGGCGCUAGCAGUGAGGCAAACUAAAGGAAAACUUGGAAGUGAUUGUCACGAGGUGGCGCUAGCGACGAAGCAAACUAAAGGAAAAAUAGGAAAUGAUUGUCGCAAGGUGGAGCUAGCGACGAAGGAAACUUGGAAAUGAACGCCACAAGGUAGCGCUAACGGCGAAGCAAACUAAAGGAAAAUUAGGAAAUGAUUGUCACGAGGUGGCGGUAGCAGUGAAGCAAACUAAAGGAAAUCUGGAAAAUGAUUGCCAUAAGGUGGCGCUAGCGGUGAAUCAUACUGAAGGAAAACAUGGAAAUGAUUAUCACGAGGUAUCAAGGGCUUUGACUUUGAACUAUACGUAGAAUGGCCCAAUUGGCUUGUUUUAUCAUCCUUCAAAGGCAAUAGUUGUAGUGUCAGCGCAACAAGUUUGAGUGUCUACUAAUAAUAUGUUUUUACUGCAAUAACGGUUUUUGAUUUUAUAAUACCUGACGCCAGCAAAAGAACAUACCUAUUAUUUAAAGGUAAAAGUGAAAACUCUGGCGUAGAAUAAAUCUAAAAACAAGCACCUUUCCCUAUCGCCAAAACUGCAAUACUCUUUUUGACGUUUUAUUAACCUAGUUGGCGUCUCCAAGACUUUCGAAAGCAUCCAAAAAUAUAGUGUCAUGUGCCGAUGUCAACAAUUUCAAACACUUAUCAUUCAUUGUAUGGCCGUUCUCCUAAAUUUUUCUGGUCUUCAAAAUUGGAUAUGAGCUGCGUGAAACGAGUUUCAAUGGCAACAUCUUGUCUUUAAAGUAAUCUAAGAUUUGUUGAAGUGGCAAGAAGUUUUGAAGGCCACUUACACUUUCCACAUUUUAAAAAUAAGAUCAAAUCUAUGUAUCUUGGUUUAUAUGGAUGGACAAUACACUUUGAAUGGACAUCUUUUUGAAAAGUCGAAAAUUUACGAAGAUUCUUGCUUUUAAUGAUGAUUUUGCUGUGAAAAUAUUAUGAAUGAGGAUUCAAAACGAACCUUUAAACUUGCAACCAUGAAUUUGGUGAAUAUUUUAAAUUUCAUCAGUAUAAAAAGGUCAAGCGAUGGGUAGACUUCAUGUUAAAGAACAGGUAUGUAUUCAAAUAACACUUGAUUUUCACUCAACAAUUUACAAAAUCGCAACAACUGUUUCACUAGACAAUACCUUUCUCAGGCUCAUUCAUAUUGGUAUUAAGCUAUUACUGGUGUAUAAUGAAACACGUGUUGAGUAUCAGUCGUAGCAAAGGAAACUGUACAUUCUAUGGUUUUAUUUCAUGUUAUUGAGUCAUUUACAUUUUUCACAGAAUUUUAUCGGACAUUUACAAAAACAUGAUUUAUUUAAUAUUUUAUGCUCAUUUCUAAUUUUUGGAAAACUCUUGUGUGCAGCUAUAUUGCUAUAGGACAUAAUUAUAUGUAUCAUAAUGAUAUUUUGUGUAGAUAAUAAAAAAAUAUUGAGUUUUU